GAUGAAGAACGUAGCGAAAUGCGAUACUUGGUGUGAAUUGCAGAAUCCCGUGAACCAUCGAGUCUUUGAACGCAAGUUGCGCCCGAAGCCUCGGCUAAGGGCACGUCUGCCUGGGCGUCACGCAUCGCGUCUCCCCCAAUCCGCCAAGGCGGAGGGGAAGGAAGAUGGCUUCCCGUGCCUCACCCGGCACGGUUGGCCUAAAUUUGGAGCCCGCGGCACUUAGCUCUCGCGGCGAUAGGUGGUGAACAAGGCCCUGGCCGUGCAAACAACCCGUUGCGAAGCUCUAUGUCACGUACGCUCGUCGGACCCUUUGAAGUUGCCUUUGGUGACUUAAAACCUUUGCGACCCCGGGUCAGGCGGGGCUACCCGCUGAAUUUAAGCAUAUCAAUAAGCGGGAGGA
This 400-nucleotide unclassified non-coding RNA is filed under the name soil metagenome. RNAcentral's name for it is "partial contains 5.8S ribosomal RNA, internal transcribed spacer 2, and large subunit ribosomal RNA". The stretch from base 1 to 120 matches the Rfam family "5.8S ribosomal RNA", at positions 35 to 154 of the family's 154-position model. The record is from RNAcentral.